AUUAAAGUGGACUGAUUUGCGAUGCUAUCAUCAAAAAUAGCGGGAUUGCAACCACGUAAAAAAAAGUGCUAACCUAUUUUCA
Molecule: non-coding RNA, 82 nt
Organism: Pedobacter steynii
Lineage: Bacteria; Pseudomonadati; Bacteroidota; Sphingobacteriia; Sphingobacteriales; Sphingobacteriaceae
Source: Rfam